AGCGAACGCUGGCGGCAGGCUUAACACAUGCAAGUCGAGCGGGCCCUUCGGGGUCAGCGGCGGACGGGUGAGUAACGCGUGGGAACGUGCCUUCUGGUUCGGAAUAACUCAGGGAAACUUGAGCUAAUACCGGAUACGCCCUUUUGGGGAAAGGUUUACUGCCGGAAGAUCGGCCCGCGUCUGAUUAGCUAGUUGGUGGGGUAACGGCCUACCAAGGCGACGAUCAGUAGCUGGUCUGAGAGGAUGAUCAGCCACACUGGGACUGAGACACGGCCCAGACUCCUACGGGAAGCAGCAGUGGGGAAUAUUGGACAAUGGGCGCAAGCCUGAUCCAGCCAUGCCGCGUGAGUGAUGAAGGCCUUAGGGUUGUAAAGCUCUUUUAUCCGGGACGAUAAUGACGGUACCGGAGGAAUAAGCCCCGGCUAACUUCGUG
This 433-nucleotide ribosomal RNA is filed under the name uncultured bacterium. Its description in RNAcentral is "partial 16S ribosomal RNA". It matches the Rfam family "Bacterial small subunit ribosomal RNA", at positions 29 to 507 of the family's 1533-position model. The record is from RNAcentral.